RNAcentral lists this ribosomal RNA (506 nucleotides) under uncultured bacterium. Its description in RNAcentral is "bacterial SSU rRNA". It matches the Rfam family "Bacterial small subunit ribosomal RNA", at positions 30 to 504 of the family's 1533-position model. The record is from RNAcentral.
CGAACGCUGGCGGCGUGCCUAAUACAUGCAAGUCGAGCGAGCGGAACUAACAGAUUUACUUCGGUAAUGACGUUAGGAAAGCGAGCGGCGGAUGGGUGAGUAACACGUGGGGAACCUGCCCCAUAGUCUGGGAUACCACUUGGAAACAGGUGCUAAUACCGGAUAAGAAAGCAGAUCGCAUGAUCAGCUUUUAAAAGGCGGCGUAAGCUGUCGCUAUGGGAUGGCCCCGCGGUGCAUUAGCUCGUUGUUAAGGUAAAGGCUUACCAAGGCGAUGAUGCAUAGCCGAGUUGAGAGACUGAUCGGCACAUUGGGACUGAGACACGGCCCAAACUCCUACGGGAGGCAGCAGUAGGGAAUCUUCCACAAUGGACGCAAGUCUGAUGGAGCAACGCCGCGUGAGUGAAGAAGGUUUUCGGAUCGUAAAGCUCUGUUGUUGGUGAAGAAGGAUAGAGGUAGUAACUGGCCUUUAUUUGACGGUAAUCAACCAGAAAGUCACGGCUAACUAC